AUGUCGCCAGUGACCACAAUCUUUUUAACAUGCAGACAACAUAAAGAACUCCUUUUUAUUAGGGAGAUACCACAUUUUCAUGUAUCUCUAAAAUAGGUUAAAUAAUUUGGUUAGCUUACAUUAUGUAUGUUUUACUCCAGGAUUUUUAAAAAUGUUUUUUGAUGGAGAAAACUGUAAAUAUAUAAUGGGGCUUUACUGACUUUUAAAAAGUGACAUUUUCCAUGAUAUUUGUAUAUGUAAUAUUAUUUUUUACUUAUAUAAAUGGACUUACCUUGGUCAUUGGCCAAAAUAAGUUACAUUCUAUUUUCCAUUUGACUGUUUGGUUUGAUGAUUUUCUGUGGACCAUAUUAACAAGUUGCAUUUGUUGCCAUUUUUGCUGGCAGCCAUUCAUCGGAACAGCCCCCGUCCUAUGAAGGUACCUCGAUGCCAUAGUGACCCUCCUAACCCACACCUCAUUAUCCCCACUCCAGAGGGAUUCAGGGGUUCCAGCGUCCCUGAAAAUGAUCGGUUGGCUUCCAUAGCUGCUGAAUUGCAGUUUAGGUCCCUGAGUCGUCACUCAAGCCCCACGGAGGAGCGAGACG
RNAcentral lists this small RNA (581 nucleotides) under Pongo abelii (Sumatran orangutan). Its description in RNAcentral is "retained intron". The record is from RNAcentral. Lineage: Eukaryota; Metazoa; Chordata; Mammalia; Primates; Hominidae.